This 252-nucleotide ribosomal RNA is filed under the name uncultured bacterium. RNAcentral's name for it is "partial 16S ribosomal RNA". It matches the Rfam family "Bacterial small subunit ribosomal RNA", at positions 524 to 776 of the family's 1533-position model. The record is from RNAcentral.
UACGGGGGGGCAAGCGUUGUUCGGAAUUACUGGGCGUAAAGGGCUCGUAGGCGGCCAACUAAGUCAGACGUGAAAUCCCUCGGCUUAACCGGGGAACUGCGUCUGAUACUGGAUGGCUUGAGUUUGGGAGAGGGAUGCGGAAUUCCAGGUGUAGCGGUGAAGUGCGUAGAUAUCUGGAGGAACACCGGUGGCGAAGGCGGCAUCCUGGACCAACACUGACGCUGAGGAGCGAAAGCCAGGGGAGCAAACGGG